UCCCAAGUAACUGGGACCACAGGCAGAUGCCACCAUGCCCAGUGACUCCGUUCACAUGCUCCCGUCUUGUCAUCAAGCCCUGUUCAUCUCUCACCAUCUCUCACCUGGACCAUUGCCAGUUUCUGAGCUGCCUGCUCUUGAAUACCAGCUUCCUGAAAAUAUCACCAAAACGAUCUGGUCCUCAGACAAAGCAGAGUCUAUUGCUCACUGCAGUAACAGAGAGCUCCGUCUUCAGAGUCUUGGUAACAUUUCGCUGAGAGGACAACCCAAUCACACUGUUUAGGAGAUUUUGGAUUCUGACUAAGGUGCCUGGAGCAAAAAUGUGUCCAGAAUUGGUGGGUUGUUGGUCUCGCUGACCUCAAGAACGGAGCCGUGGACCCUCGCGGGACAAGGGGAGUCAGAGGCAGAAGAGAAGGUGUUGUGAUGACAGAAGCAGAGAUCUGAGUGACUCACUUUGAAGAUGGAGGAAGAGGUCACAGGCCAAGUGAUACAGAUGCCAGGAGAAGCUGAAAACAGGAGGAAAUGGAUUCUUCCCUCAGAGCUUCUGGAAAAGAUCAGUCUUGCUGAUAACUUGACUUUAGCCCACUGAAACUGAUUUUGAACUUUUGACUUCCAGAACUACAGGGUCUCAUUAUUGUUGCCCAGACUCAUCUCAAACUC
Molecule: long non-coding RNA, 660 nt
Filed under: Homo sapiens (human)
Lineage: Eukaryota; Metazoa; Chordata; Mammalia; Primates; Hominidae
Description: HSALNT0352887
Source: RNAcentral